This is an RNA transcript of Jatropha curcas, 2787 nucleotides long. It is a transcript of the gene named flavodoxin family protein / radical SAM domain-containing protein, with no coding region annotated. The record is from RefSeq and is a predicted model, not a curated record. Lineage: Eukaryota; Viridiplantae; Streptophyta; Magnoliopsida; Malpighiales; Euphorbiaceae.
GGCUCUCCGAAAUCUGAUAUAGAGCUCAAAAUUUCUACGCAAAGCCCACCAUCUCCGCCACACUGAAAGUGCUUCUUCUUCUACUUCUAUAUUUCGCAGAGUCUCUUAUUUCAUAAAUGUAGACAGACAAACAAUUAAAUCCUAAAGAUGUCCCUGUCCUCCCGCUCCGCUCGCUUAACUCUACUCGCUGUCCUUUCAGCCUCAACCUUCUACUGCUUCUAUAAAUCUCGCCGUCUCAAACUACUCAAAGACUCCCUUAACCCUAGUUUGAACCGGAAUAGUAACUCUGUUUGUUCUUCUAAUAAAGGUAAGCUAUUCUUCAUAUCCCAAACAGGGACCUCUAAAAACCUAGCGCAGCGGCUUCACAAUCUCUUCAAGUUAAAUGAUCUCUCAUUUGAUCUCAUCGAUGCUAAAGACUACGAGCCUGAGGACCUUUCCAAGGAAACAUUAGUCAUUAUAGUUGCUUCUACCUGGGAAGAUGGAAAGCCGCCUUCAAACGCCAACUUCUUCUCGAAUUGGCUCGCCGAGAGCGCUGAUGAUUUUCGAGUUGGUUCAUUGUUGCUUACCAAUUGUAAAUUCGCUGUUUUUGGAGUUGGAAGCAGGGCAUAUGGCGACACUUUCAAUGCUGUCGCUAAAGAUUUUUCGAGGCGUUUGAGAGAAUUGGGCGCCAAUGAGAUUUUGACGGUUGGGGAGGGCGACGUAGAUGGUGGUGAACUUGAUGGAUUUUUUGAGGAAUGGAGUGAGAAAGUGGUAGGUAUUUUGAAGGGAGGUAGAGUGGAGAAUGGAGAGGUUUUUAUUAAUGGGUGUAUUGGUAGUGAGAGCGACAACGAGAACAUUGUCGAUGAGUUUGGAAGUGAUGAUGACGAGAAUGUUGGUGUGGAGUCGGGGAUUGUUGAUCUUGAGGAUAUUGCAGGUAAAGGGCCUACAAGGAAGUUCAAUGCAGUGGUUGAAACUAACGGGAAAUUGAAUGGUCAAAAAGAAAUGGUCACUCCAGUGAUCAGGGCCAACUUAGAAAAGCAGGGAUAUAAGAUUAUUGGUUCACAUAGCGGCGUUAAAAUUUGUAGAUGGACAAAAUCGCAGCUUAGAGGACGAGGAGGAUGCUACAAGCACUCGUUUUAUGGAAUAGAGAGUCAUAGGUGUAUGGAGGCAACUCCUAGUUUGGCUUGUGCCAACAAAUGUGUUUUUUGUUGGAGGCAUCACACUAAUCCUGUUGGAAAGAACUGGCAGUGGAAGAUGGAUGAUCCUCUAGAAAUUGUCAAUUCUGCCAUAGAUCAGCAUACGAAGAUGAUUAAACAAAUGAAAGGCGUUCCUGGUGUUACACUGGAGCGACUGACUGAGGGGCUCCAUCCAAGACAUUGUGCUCUAUCACUUGUUGGUGAACCAAUUAUGUAUCCAGAGAUCAAUACACUUGUAGAUGAGCUGCAUCGAAGGCGGAUAUCUACUUUUCUAGUGACAAAUGCCCAGUUCCCAGAGAAGAUCACAAUGCUAAAGCCUGUAACCCAGUUAUAUGUCAGUGUAGAUGCUGCCACAAAGGAGAGCUUGAAGUCAAUUGACAGGCCAUUAUUUGGAGACUUUUGGGAGCGCUUUAUUGAUUCAUUGAAAGCUCUCAAGGAGAAACAGCAGCGGACAGUUUAUCGCUUGACUCUGGUGAAAGGAUGGAACACAGAGGAUAUAGAUGAUUAUUUUAAGCUCUUUAGCAUUGGACAGCCUGAUUUCAUUGAAAUUAAAGGCGUUACUUAUUGUGGAUCGUCUGCCACAUCAAAAUUGACAAUGGAGAAUGUGCCAUGGCAUGCCGAUGUGAAAGCUUUCUCAGAGGCCUUGGCUCUUAAAAGUAAAGGGGAAUAUGAAGUUGCUUGUGAGCAUGCCCACUCUUGUUGUGUCCUCUUGGCAAGAACUGAGAAGUUCAAAAUCAAUGGCCAAUGGUUCACAUGGAUAGAUUAUGAGAAGUUCCAUGAUCUGGUUGCUUCUGGAAAACCCUUCAAUAGCAAGGAUUAUGUGGCUGCCACACCUUUCUGGGCUGUUUAUGGAGCACAAGAAGGUGGAUUUGAUCCAGAUCAGUCUCGGUAUAGGAAGGAGAGACAUCAUAAAUCGAGCCGAUGAAGAACCAACCAGCCAGUCUGCCAACGGAACAUAGAUGUCUACCUGGUACCUUUAAGUUGUGUGUUAGACAGUCAUUUCAAUAUCCCUGGCAAGUGUGUUAGUCCUCUUACAAUUGACAAAGCGAGUGGGUUGGCGCAAUCAAUUUGAGCCAGACUACUGCAUGAACCAACCCUAGGCAAUAAUAUAUUUGAAGUAUGAUAUUUUCCUAGAUUGAUUCUAGUGGUGGAGAAUUCUCCCAAAGCUCUUUUUUCCAGUUCCUAAAGCGGUGGUACAAAAUAGCAGGAGCUCAUUGAUCUUUGUUUCCUAGAUUUGCCUAAGCGGCAUUAGUAAUAUGACAACUGUGGAGUGGAUGCAAUACUUUUGACGGAAAUGCCCAAAUGGAGAGUGAAGAAUAUCCCUUGCUUGUAUGUUGAGCCAUUCCUAAUCUAGGAUUGCUUCUGUCUAUUAAAUCACUGUUUAGUUGCUAGCUUAUCUUCAUAUUUGAUUCUCAUUGCCUAUUUUUCCAAACCCUAUGAUUACAAGAAAAAUGACUGAAAUGGAAACCUGAGUUCACCCAAGCAUUACCCUCUUACACUCUUGAUCCUAAUAGAUAUCAAAGUUUCGUCCUUUGUAUUUUGGUCAAUGGGAUUCGAGCAGGUUGUACACUUUUUUAUUUAUAGGUGAAAUUUUAUUUUACUUUUGUUUUUC